This 255-nucleotide ribosomal RNA is filed under the name Bacillus pumilus. Its description in RNAcentral is "partial 16S ribosomal RNA". It matches the Rfam family "Bacterial small subunit ribosomal RNA", at positions 1144 to 1398 of the family's 1533-position model. Lineage: Bacteria; Bacillati; Bacillota; Bacilli; Caryophanales; Bacillaceae. The record is from RNAcentral.
GGUGACUGCCGGUGACAAACCGGAGGAAGGUGGGGAUGACGUCAAAUCAUCAUGCCCCUUAUGACCUGGGCUACACACGUGCUACAAUGGACAGAACAAAGGGCUGCGAGACCGCAAGGUUUAGCCAAUCCCACAAAUCUGUUCUCAGUUCGGAUCGCAGUCUGCAACUCGACUGCGUGAAGCUGGAAUCGCUAGUAAUCGCGGAUCAGCAUGCCGCGGUGAAUACGUUCCCGGGCCUUGUACACACCGCCCGUC